Molecule: long non-coding RNA, 629 nt
Organism: Spodoptera frugiperda (fall armyworm)
Lineage: Eukaryota; Metazoa; Arthropoda; Insecta; Lepidoptera; Noctuidae
Exons: 3
Source: RefSeq, a predicted model, not a curated record
UCUUCAGUUAAAUUUUUAGUAAGUGGUUCAUCCCAACCGAGACCCGCGAGCCAUAAUUUUUGUAUAAAGAUUUUAGCUACAACUAUUGUGGGCGCUAACCAACCCAAUGGGUCGAAUAAUCUAGCUAUAUCAGAGAUUACAGUUCUUUUUGUUGCAGGUGUAUUCUGAAGCGGCGGAAGAUGGACGGUGUACCGGAAGGAGUCAUCAUUACGAUCCCAGAUUUGGAUGCCGGUAGUUACGUCAUCGCAUCCAGUCAGUAAAUCAUCCAUAUAGUAGCAACUUAGUACCUUUUCAGACACGAGAGGAUAUUCGUCGCCUUCGUCGUAAGCAAUUUGAUGGAGAGUUCUGACUGCCAGCUAUAGCGCGAGAAUCACCUGCUGUGCACUGCGGAUCCUUAACUCGGAAUGGUAACCGGACUUCAUAUCUACCGUCUGCUCUUCUUUUAGUUGUGGCCUUGUAAAAGUCUUCACAUUGUUGUUCUUCUGGCGAAAGAACCUUUUUUGUACUAGUCUGAUCUUGAAUUUCCCAAAACUGUUUAAGAAUUUGAUCUAAAUUGAACUGAGCGUGAGCUACACUAACGCAUGGUUGUGUGUAACUUGAACUAUUGUUAAUGUUUGACCUAUGUACUA